RNAcentral lists this ribosomal RNA (252 nucleotides) under uncultured bacterium. RNAcentral's name for it is "partial 16S ribosomal RNA". It matches the Rfam family "Bacterial small subunit ribosomal RNA", at positions 524 to 776 of the family's 1533-position model. The record is from RNAcentral.
UACGAAGGGGGCUAGCGUUGUUCGGAAUCACUGGGCGUAAGGGGGCGUUGGCGGGUUUUUAAGUCAGGGGUGAAAUCCUGGAGCUCAACUCCAGAACUGCCUUUGAUACUGAGAAUCUUGAGUUCGGGAGAGGUGAGUGGAACUGCGAGUGUAGAGGUGAAAUUCGUAGAUAUUCGCAAGAACACCAGUGGCGAAGGCGGCUCACUGGCCCGAUACUGACGCUGAGGCACGAAAGCGUGGGGAGCAAACAGG